GCAGUCGACGAACUCUGGUAUUGAUUGGUGCUUGCAUCAUGAUUUACAUUUGAGUGAGUGGCGAACUGGUGAGUAACACGUGGGAAACCUGCCCAGAAGCGGGGGAUAACACCUGGAAACAGAUGCUAAUACCGCAUAACAACUUGGACCGCAUGGUCCGAGUUUGAAAGAUGGCUUCGGCUAUCACUUUUGGAUGGUCCCGCGGCGUAUUAGCUAGAUGGUGGGGUAACGGCUCACCAUGGCAAUGAUACGUAGCCGACCUGAGAGGGUAAUCGGCCACAUUGGGACUGAGACACGGCCCAAACUCCUACGGGAGGCAGCAGUAGGGAAUCUUCCACAAUGGACGAAAGUCUGAUGGAGCAACGCCGCGUGAGUGAAGAAGGGUUUCGGCUCGUAAAACUCUGUUGUUAAAGAAGAACAUAUCUGAGAGUAACUGUUCAGGUAUUGACGGUAUUUAACCAGAAAGCCACGGCUAACUACGUGCCAGCAGCCGCGGUAAUACGUAGGUGGCAAGCGUUGUCCGGAUUUAUUGGGCGUAAAGCGAGCGCAGGCGGUUUUUUAAGUCUGAUGUGAAAGCCUUCGGCUCAACCGAAGAAGUGCAUCGGAAACUGGGAAACUUGAGUGCAGAAGAGGACAGUGGAACUCCAUGUGUAGCGGUGAAAUGCGUAGAUAUAUGGAAGAACACCAGUGGCGAAGGCGGCUGUCUGGUCUGUAACUGACGCUGAGGCUCGAAAGUAUGGGUAGCAAACAGGAUUAGAUACCCUGGUAGUCCAUACCGUAAACGAUGAAUGCUAAGUGUUGGAGGGUUUCCGCCCUUCAGUGCUGCAGCUAACGCAUUAAGCAUUCCGCCUGGGGAGUACGGCCGCAAGGCUGAAACUCAAAGGAAUUGACGGGGGCCCGCACAAGCGGUGGAGCAUGUGGUUUAAUUCGAAGCUACGCGAAGAACCUUACCAGGUCUUGACAUACUAUGCAAAUCUAAGAGAUUAGACGUUCCCUUCGGGGACAUGGAUACAGGUGGUGCAUGGUUGUCGUCAGCUCGUGUCGUGAGAUGUUGGGUUAAGUCCCGCAACGAGCGCAACCCUUAUUAUCAGUUGCCAGCAUUAAGUUGGGCACUCUGGUGAGACUGCCGGUGACAAACCGGAGGAAGGUGGGGAUGACGUCAAAUCAUCAUGCCCCUUAUGACCUGGGCUACACACGUGCUACAAUGGAUGGUACAACGAGUUGCGAACUCGCGAGAGUAAGCUAAUCUCUUAAAGCCAUUCUCAGUUCGGAUUGUAGGCUGCAACUCGCCUACAUGAAGUCGGAAUCGCUAGUAAUCGCGGAUCAGCAUGCCGCGGUGAAUACGUUCCCGGGCCUUGUACACACCGCCCGUCACACCAUGAGAGUUUGUAACACCCAAAGUCGGUGGGGUAACC
This 1415-nucleotide ribosomal RNA is filed under the name Lactiplantibacillus plantarum. Its description in RNAcentral is "bacterial SSU rRNA". It matches the Rfam family "Bacterial small subunit ribosomal RNA". The record is from RNAcentral. Lineage: Bacteria; Bacillati; Bacillota; Bacilli; Lactobacillales; Lactobacillaceae.